Molecule: long non-coding RNA, 4881 nt
Filed under: Taeniopygia guttata (zebra finch)
Lineage: Eukaryota; Metazoa; Chordata; Aves; Passeriformes; Estrildidae
Description: lncRNA (ENSTGUG00000026077.1)
Source: RNAcentral
GCCUUUCCAAUCCCUGUGUUUUCAGCUUUAUGAACAUCCUAUACCAAGCAGGUCAAACACUCCCAUCAGAGCAAGCUCCUGAACAGCUAAACACAAAACCUUCACAAUGACCCACUUCUUUCAUACAAAUAUGACUUUAUAUCCUUGUUUUGCAAACCAAUUCCUUUUGGACAUACAUCUGACUUAGAUUUCAGCUUACAAAAACUCCAGGUUCCAUGUGUACACUUUCAUAUUGAAUCCUACCCAUGUGGAAAAUACUUGUUAUCACUGCAUUAUCCUUAUGGGGGGAAAAAACCCAAACAAAAUACGCUUCUGCUUAAACUCAAAUAACUAGUUAAGUUUUUUUUUAAAACAAACCAAAAAGGCCUACACAUAAAAACAAAACCAACAUUUCUGUGGAGUGCUUUUAGUCUCUCUGGAAGUGUCUAGCUAGUUAGCUGACUGUCUUACUUGUAAAAAUUUAAUAAGGAACUAAUCCCUUUCCAAAACUCAGAGCUCUCUCAGCUCUAUCAGUGAUGCUUCUUCACAGUGGCACUUCAGAACCACCACUUUUGCAGUCACAGAAAUUCAUCUCAUGAGUUGUACUUCACAGCUCCUAAUCAUAAAUUUCUUGAUUUAUCUAAAAGAGUGCCCCCCCCCCCCCUUUAAGGCUCUAGUAAAUUAUGCUUAGCCUUUCCAUAGAUAAUUUGACGAGAUUCAAAUGUCCUUUCAAAGAAACCAAACAGAUCCUCGUUCAUUCAUGAACUGAAACUCAGCAUGUACUUUUUUGGCAGACAGAUAGGCACAGAAAACAGAUGGAGAUUAAAAAAAAAAACAAACAAAAAAAAAAGCUUGAUUUUGUAUUUCUCCAGGACCCAGUUCUGCCAGAUCUUUCAUGGAUUUCCUCACAGUUGUUUUGCUGAGAUACUAUUGUCCACAACCAUUGAAAGUAGUCAAAAUAAUCCUCAUCCAUAAUAGGUUUAAUGUCUGAGCCAAAACCUGACUCCUCCAAGUGGAUGUUAAUAUCACUGAGCAUCAGAAUAAUUCAGGAUGUAACUUGCUGGGGCUGUACUUCCAAUGAGCACAGGUGAACAUGCCCUUACUUGGCUCACUCUAUGUAUAAUUUUCUAGCUGGCAAUCACAUGAAUUGGUAGCACACUGACACAGAGGCGCUGCCCAUGAACAGCAUCUGCUCUUAGAUAUUGGAAGAUGGGCAUCUCACUCAGCAACAGAGCUCACUGCGUUCUUGCAAGCACAAUGAAAAAGCACUUCUUGAAAGAAGUGUGAACGUGUGCAUGGGAGAACAGCACACAAAUACACAUUGGAUUUCCAAGUCUUACUGGAUGCACAGGAAAAAAGAAACAAUUAAAACCACAUGUUUUAAUUUUCUUUGAAUCCUAGAAGACCUACUGUGCUCCAUUUGCUAUUGUUCCUUGCAAUAGCGACGCAUAACAACCUCUAUUUCUUUGCUAUCAAGAGUUGCCAAAUUAUCAUAAGAAUACACUGCAGUAUGUAGCUGUCCUUAUAGAACAAAAUGAGUGCCAAACACCUAAAAUUCAUGUGUCCAGAAAAAUUUUUAAAAGUUUUCUUGGGUUCAAGGGAUAACUCAAAAGAAGCCAUAGGAUCAGUAAAGUGAAACUUAAAAGGAAAAACUAAGGGUACUUUUUUUAUUAACUUUUCACCCUUCUCAUAAAAAAAAAAAGGUAUUAUUGCACUUACAAAGUGAAUCUAAAUUGACCACACCACUUAAAACCAAAUAUAAACAUAUUCUUUCCCAAAACAUUUCUUCCUUAAAGGUUUUGUUGUUGGGGGGCAAGGAGGAGAAUGUUUGGUUAUUUGGGGGUUUUUGGGGUUUUUGCUUUGCUCCCAGUGUACUGCUUGGGCUAUGAAAGUGAAAUACAAUCAAUUCUAUGUAUACAUAUGUAAAAAUUCUAUGUCUAUCAAUAAAAUCAAUUCUAUGUGUAUCAAUAAAGAGUUCCAAACACACAUAGAUGUCUUCCCUUCUGCAAGUUAAGGAAUGCACAAGUUUCCCAUCAAUGCAAUAAAAAAUACAGUUAGUGGCUAAACCUUUUUUAAACAGUGUCAACAAUUUUGUCUUUUUUUUUAAACACUGUAGGUUUCAAGUGUAAGAAAAAAAUUAUACAAACCCCAUAAUGUAUAUCACAUAUUUCAGUACAACUCCAAACCUGUCUCACUUCUAAUCCCCUAUAUAAUAUGUAAAAUACUGAACUGUAUAAUUUUCCAAUGUUAUUCUACUGUGAAAAGCUAAUUAAUUCAGAAGAUUGAAAAAAAAAUUGUUUUUUUUUUAACAAGGUAAUUGAUAACAAUUCAUUUACAGCUGUAGACAAAGAACUUUCCUGAGAAUGCUUAGUAGAUGUUAAAAAAAUAAAAGUAUCAGAAAAUCUAUUGCAAGAGAGAAACAAAUAUAAAUAAUCAUGAAGAAUAAAAUUUUAAAAAGAGAGAGAACUGAUGAAGGAUGAGAAGAUUAUUAGCUUUGACUGGAAGGACUUAUGUUUAUCAUCACCUAUAUUUUAUCUACUAGUCAGUCCAGGGGUUUGAUUCCCAGAGGUAUGUCUGUCUCUCUCUCGGCAUCAUGCUUCAAGGCAGUAGAUAAUACAAAGUGGAACUGUAGUUAAAAUUCUUAUUACGUGCUAGUUUCCCUACUGUUGCCUCUAAGGCAAAAAGAGGCCACUGAGCUCUAUUGUAUUGAAGCUUUCAAAUGCAAUUUCAGCCUAAUGCUUCGCAUUAAUAUGUGGCAUCUCUGAGUGCUCUGCUCUACUGCUGAAGGAAAGAAUGACUCAGGUACUGUGAGAGGCACAUCUGUGAUUAAAUAUGGCAGUGGUAUUUAUGCUGCAAAGCCACUGGCAAAACAGCUUAAAAAUUAAUGAGAAGAAAGUUUCACCACAAAAAUGGCGGAGCCAAUUUAUGUAGACAGAUUGACAGUGCCCCAAAGAGAGAGGAAACAGAAAUUAGUCUACCAUCCACACUUCUGCAGAUAUUGUUAAGUUCUCCUUAAUAAAUAGAGUUGUACAUAGACAUUAAUCUCUACCAUGAACAUACAGCUUACUCAGUCAUGUUAUGCUAUAUAACUUGAGAUGAUGAGAUCUCCCAAACAGAUAUUGACCCAAUUUAUACCUGCAUGUCUUCUAGCAACUGAUUAUACUAUUUGUGAGUACAAACUUAGAGAUUAGUGUCCAGAGCAGAAAAUGUUUUAUUUUCAUUUUCCUCUCCAUAAAUUUAAAAAUUUUAGUUUAGUCUUUUGAACUUAGCAAAUUUAGUCUUACAGAAUGUGAUGGCUCUCCUAAAGCUAUCCCACUAUAUAAAUGCAGACACGGAAAUACUUGUUGUUUCUACAAAUGCUGUAUAUUAAGAGAGACAGCAAUAAGAAUGAUGUAAAAAAUUGCAGCUCCUUAUCCUAAAAGCCCAGCUAAUGCAGUUUAAAAGUUAUAAAAUGGGAAUUAAAAGAAACUCAGAGUUUAAUAAUUUGUCAACUUUUUUUUUUUAAGUGUUACCAAUCUCUACCAAUAAUAACACCUACAUAAAACACUACAGCUGUUUCCAGAACAGUAUUUUCUUUACUGUUAGCCAGCUUCCCUUUCAUGAAUCACACAAUGGAAAUUUAGAAAAGUUUUAGUACAAUAUAUAAAAAAAUAUUUUUAAGUUAUGAAACUUUAAAUUUAAAAAGAACUGCACUCCAGAGUUUGAAUUUAGUAUCAAAGAACCAUAAUAAAAUAAAAGAUAGCCUGAUGUCUAAGAAUGAUUUCUUAUAUAAACUAUUCAAUAUGCCUACAUAUAUACAUCACUUUGGGCCCCAUUUCUAAAACCCAUCCUAUGGCAGUAAUCCAAAUGAAAAGAGUAUUAAAUAUUGAUCCAAGUUAAGAUAAAAGCCAAGUCCCCAUUCAAAAUUUUACCAGUCAGAUUUGGGUUUUAUUUUUACAGUCUUGUAUUCUAUCUUACUCUUCAAAAUCUGUUAAGGACAAACCUAUUUUUUGCCUAUAUAAAUUAAUCCAAGCUCAGACUGAAUGACUGAACUUACGACUUAGCACUUCUAUUUUGGUUCACAGAGAGUAGAUUUACUUCUGUCAUUCUUUGCUACAAUCUCUGCAUCCCUCUGCAAUGACCCUCCACACAGAUCUCUUCUGCACAAAUUAAGUUACUACUUCUGCUUCUCCUCCCCAGCCCACCCCCAUCACGUGGAAGGGCACAUAGAAGUGGAGAAGGCUCAUGUGGAAAAUGCACACAGAUGUAGUAAAGCAGUGUGUUUGUUUUUCAGAAGGGGGAAAAGGUAAGGACUCACAUUAAUUGGACAAGAUGCCUGUUAGAAUUGUCACAGACUCUCUAAACCGAUCAGAGUGCAUUAAAUUUUCAAGCAAGUGGGCAAUUAGCACAAUAUACCACCCUCCUGUACCUAGGGCACAGGAUUGUCACUUUACACCUCAUUGUUAAGCCUGGUCAGCUAAAAGCCAUCUAAUUUUCCCAUAUUUUCUGAACAAAACCAAAAUAGGGUUAUGAACCACUAAUUAUCUUGGUUUAAAAACUGCUGAAACUGGAAUAAACCCUCUGCUUAUGAGCAAUCCUGUUUGCUCCUGAACAAAUCUUACCUGAGAAAAAGAAGAAAAGAAGGGAGAGGUGUAUUAUUUAUUUGUUUGGGUUUGUUUUUUAAAUUGUGGCCAUCUUUGUUACAGGUCUCAAGAGGAGGGUCUGUGAGCUCAGGGCCACAUUGAACAGAUGUCAGCAGAUGAGCAGGCUCAAGUGCUCAGGCAGACAGGGCACAUCUGUGGGGAACAGGACACUUGCAUUCCUGCCUCUGGUCUUGCAGAGACACUUCAGGAAAGAUAAAAGGCCGGGGUAAAUAAAUACGGUUUUAUACUGAAUCAGUUCUUUUCUCAAAGCACAUACUAA